GACGAACGCUGGCGGCGUGCUUAACACACGCAAGUCGAACGAGAAGAUUGAAAGCUUGCUUUUGAAAGUCGAGUGGCACACGGGCGAGUAACGCGUAGGCAACCUGCCUUUGAGAUGGGGACAACAGUUCGAAAGGACUGCUAAUACCGAACGUUGUAUAUUUUCCACAUGGAAGAUAUAUUAAAGAUGGACUAUAUUUAUAAGAUCUCGCUCAAAGCUGGGUCUGCGUCUGAUUAGCUAGUUGGUGGGGUAACGGCCGACCAAGGCGACGAUAAGUAGCCGGUCUGAGAGGAUGAACGGCCACAUUGGGACUGAGACACGGCCCAGAUUCCUACGGGAGGCAGCAGUGGGGAGUCUUCCGCAAUGGACGAAAGUCUGACGGAGCAACGCCGCGUGAGUGAAGAAGGUUUUCGGAUCGUAAAGCUCUGUUGUUUGAGACGAAUGUGCCUGUUUCGAAUAGGGAUAGGUAAUGACGGUAUUAAACGAGAAAGCCACGGCUAACUACGUGCCAGCCGCCGCCGUAA
This 524-nucleotide ribosomal RNA is filed under the name uncultured bacterium. RNAcentral describes it as "partial 16S ribosomal RNA". It matches the Rfam family "Bacterial small subunit ribosomal RNA", at positions 28 to 523 of the family's 1533-position model. The record is from RNAcentral.